UCGUCCAAGCCCAAACAGUUUGAAGAGUAACUGUGAGACAUAUUAUUAAUAAGUUAACAGAAGCAACAGGUUCAGACUUGGUUGGACAGUGCCCUACUUUCAGCUGAAAGUGGCCUUGGAGAAUCUUGGAGAACUGAACUUGAUAAAACUGAUAACUUCCUAAACCAAGAGCAGUUUUAUAGAGUCAAUCCUUCUACUUUUGUACAAGGGAAAAAUGUUUGGACAAAUUCUUAACAUGGUAACCCAGGAACAGCAAAAAUAGCUCUAAAAACCUAUGCCAGAGAAGUCAAACCAUUUUCCCUAGGCCUAGUUUAUUCAUGAAACUGCUCUGAAAUCAAUUUUUUUCCCAAAACCAAUUGGCAUUCCUGGAGUCCCAUUUCCCUUUUCUUCUACAGUGCAAUCUGUUUUUCUUAUCAUCACUGGAUGCUUCAUACUCAACAAUGAACUGUGCUACAUGAGGACUGUACCACUAUUCCACAAGGUUAUUUUCUGCCAUCAUUCAUUCACUCCACAAACAAUGAACACCUGCUACAUGCUGGGCUCUGUACCAGGCAUCAAAGUUACAAAGUAAGUAAUAUGAAGCUUCUACCUGUUAAGAGUGGAGUCCAUGGGCUGGGGAUGUGGCUCAGCGGUAGCGCGCUCGCCU
This 646-nucleotide long non-coding RNA is filed under the name Urocitellus parryii (Arctic ground squirrel). Its description in RNAcentral is "lncRNA (ENSUPAG00010013892.1)". The record is from RNAcentral. Lineage: Eukaryota; Metazoa; Chordata; Mammalia; Rodentia; Sciuridae.